GACGAACGCUGGCGGCGUGCUUAACACAUGCAAGUCGAGCGGUAAGGCCCUUUCGGGGUACACGAGCGGCGAACGGGUGAGUAACACGUGGGUGACCUGCCCUCAGCUCUGGGAUAAGCCCGGGAAACUGGGUCUAAUACCGGAUAUGACUCCAUGACGCAUGUUGUGGGUGAAAGCCUUGUGCGGCUGAGGAUGGGCCCGCGGCCUAUCAGCUUGUUGGU
RNAcentral lists this ribosomal RNA (221 nucleotides) under uncultured bacterium. RNAcentral describes it as "partial 16S ribosomal RNA". It matches the Rfam family "Bacterial small subunit ribosomal RNA", at positions 28 to 253 of the family's 1533-position model. The record is from RNAcentral.